Unclassified non-coding RNA from Cricetulus griseus (Chinese hamster), 92 nucleotides. Ensembl annotates it as predicted gene, 27987. The record is from Ensembl. Lineage: Eukaryota; Metazoa; Chordata; Mammalia; Rodentia; Cricetidae.
CUGAGGGGAGAACCCUCCUCUUCUCUUUUGAGGUCACUCAUAGGAUCUGGCAAACUCUACAACCUUUUUUUAAAGAUACCUUCCCCAGAGGC